CCUACGGGUGGCAGCAGUGAGGAAUAUUGGUCAAUGGACGAGAGUCUGAACCAGCCAAGUAGCGUGAAGGAUGACUGCCCUAUGGGUUGUAAACUUCUUUUAUAUGGGAAUAAAAUGUUCCACGUGUGGGAUUUUGUAUGUACCAUAUGAAUAAGGAUCGGCUAACUCCGUGCCAGCAGCCGCUGUAAUACGGAGGAUCCGAGCGUUAUCCGGAUUUAUUGGGUUUAAAGGGAGCGUAGGUGGAUUGUUAAGUCAGUUGUGAAAGUUUGCGGCUCAACCGUAAAAUUGCAGUUGAAACUGGCAGUCUUGAGUACAGUAGAGGUGGGCGGAAUUCGUGGUGUAUCGGUGAAAUGCUUAGAUAGCACGAAGAACUCCGAUUGCGAAGGCAGUUCACUGGACUGCAACUGACACUGAGGCUCGAAAGUGUGGGUAUCAAACAGGAUUAGAUACCCGGGUAGUC
This 460-nucleotide ribosomal RNA is filed under the name uncultured bacterium. RNAcentral describes it as "partial 16S ribosomal RNA". It matches the Rfam family "Bacterial small subunit ribosomal RNA", at positions 338 to 795 of the family's 1533-position model. The record is from RNAcentral.